Molecule: ribosomal RNA, 253 nt
Filed under: uncultured bacterium
Lineage: Bacteria
Description: partial 16S ribosomal RNA
Rfam family: Bacterial small subunit ribosomal RNA
Source: RNAcentral
UACGUAGGGGGCGAGCGUUGUCCGGAAUUAUUGGGCGUAAAGAGCUCGUAGGCGGUCUGUUGCGUCGGCUGUGAAAACCCGGGGCUCAACCCCGGGCCUGCAGCCGAUACGGGCAGACUAGAGUUCGGCAGGGGAGACUGGAAUUCCUGGUGUAGCGGUGAAAUGCGCAGAUAUCAGGAGGAACACCGAUGGCGAAGGCAGGUCUCUGGGCCACUACUGACGCUGAGAAGCGAAAGCAUGGGGAGCGAACAGG